Molecule: transfer RNA, 72 nt
Filed under: Camelus bactrianus (Bactrian camel)
Lineage: Eukaryota; Metazoa; Chordata; Mammalia; Artiodactyla; Camelidae
Also listed under: 2 other names
Rfam family: tRNA
About the family: Transfer RNA (tRNA) molecules are approximately 80 nucleotides in length. Their secondary structure includes four short double-helical elements and three loops (D, anti-codon, and T loops).
Source: Rfam by way of RNAcentral
GAGGGUAUAGCUCAGUGAUAGAGUAUGUGCUUAGCAGGCACAAGGGCCAAGGUUCAGACCCCAGUGCCUCCA